UUCAUUUACCCUCAUGAAUUUACUGCGCAUCUGAAAUAGUUCAGACCUAACAAAUAGUUCAGACCCCGUGUUCAUGGCGCCUCCGCACAACCGAUCUGCACCCACAAAGCUGCUGCAUGUAGCAAGGCUGCAGGUAAUCACUUUGGUGAGUGUAAUAAAGUAAGAUGGCUGCUCACUUGCUUCUUUUGCCGUGUACUCGCUUAUUUUUUUAUAACUGUGUGAUCUAAGGGUCGGAUCGUGGUUCUUCUAACUGAUUAAGGUAGCUGCUUGUUUGCUUUUUUAUGCUCGCUCAGUUGCCUUUUUUUUAUCUAAGGAUGCAAGUUUUGUGUGUACCAAGUUGUGAAUUAAGAGGACUGAGUUCUAUCUAAGGAGAACCCGAUAGUCCUAUUUAAAGUCAUUUGUUAUUACCUUGAUCCUAUCAUAUGACGUUUGGUAUUUUAUGGUCAUGGAAUGAGAGAUUGCAUUCCUUGUACAGGAGAUCAUUCCAGCGUUGGAUUGGACUAUUGCUGCCUUUUAAUUUUAUUUUUAGGCAAAUGUCCACCUGUAAUGUUAGAGCAAUUAUUUUGGUGCUAAACUAAUCCCAAAUAAGUGCCACCAAUGUGUGAAAAUAAAAUGUGUGAUUAUGAUCUUUUAAUUAUAUUCUGAAUAUGAUUAUUAUGCAAUUUCUAAGUUGUUGACAUUCUAGCCUAUCACAUGUAGAUUGGAAGACUUCUCUUUUUGAUGGACUCUGGAUCUAAAGAAGCAUAUAAGCAUGUAGAGAGGAACAUGUUGUCCACUUUGCUGUACAAAUGUACUACACGAUUUUACACAUGUGUUUGAUUAGAUGAUAUUUGAUGAUUUGAGCAUUGUACUGGUGGGAUUUCCACAACAAUACGUAUGAUCUAAACAUUGACUGAAAAUAUUUAUCAGAGUAUUCGUUUCAAACAAUUAAUUUUGCAAAAUAUUGCACUUAUCAUCCCAAAUGAUGGUUGUUCAUUACAAAUCUCAUUCCAUUUUUUUGUUGUCCCUAUUUGAAAAAAUUUGUAGACGAAGAUGGAAUUUAGAAAAUGGAUUGCAUUAUCAAACGUGCAUUGCACGUGCACGCUUACUAUUUUGUAAAAGGCAAGAGAAAUAACUUUCAUAUUUUAGCAAUAAAUACAAUAUAAUUUAUUGCACAAACUGAUCCAUCUCGAUACUCACGAGUGCGAAGUAGCAUGCAGGUUAUAGUUUAAUGGCAUGUUUAAAACAUAACCUCAAAUUUUAAAAUAGCAAAUAACUUAAUUUUAAUAAAUGCAGACUUAAUAAUAUAUAUCCAAAAUAAAUGAAGCCAAAAUACACAUAUAAUAUCCGAAAGAAAAUGAUAUAUUAUCGGCAUACUUAGUAAUCUGUGAUCUUGAUCAACAGAGUUUAUUCAUUUCCCGAUUUUGUAAUUAUUGUUUCCUUAUGUAAUAGAUAUGUAAUCCGGCGUCUAUUUAUUAACCAGGUGCAGAAAGGAACAAAAAUAAAUGUUUUCCCGUUUAUUAGCAAUGUUUUGUAAUGGAAAAAUGCACGGAUGGAAUGAUAAGGGGCACUUUCCAACCUGGUGCCGGACAAUUCCCCUCUGACUGUCAUAUAUAUAUUGUCCGGCUGUUUGACCACUAUAGUCCAAUUUCCCCUCGCUCGCUCAUCCUCGUGCAAAGAUUACUUUCUGCCUGCGGUAAUGGCUGCAAUGCCCAUUUUUGAUAGAGUGGACGACGUAGUCGAGUACAUGUACAACUACGUCAUGGUUUCCUCAGACGAGGAGGAAUUAGAGUUUGUUCUGGCAGCCCUAAACUCCAUCUAUACUAUAUAUGCAAUUGUUAGCUGCAGAUCACUACCAUUAUAGUUUGCAUUGUCGGCUUCUUUUUUUAAACCCGAGUAAAUAUCUGUUAUUUCACCUAAUCCAUGGCGAUUAGUUGGUCACGUUCAUAAGUUAUUGCAUGCAUGUACUGGUUAGGAUCAUGCUAUCCUUCUAUGUCCAAAAGGUUCUUAGGAUCUAACGUAGUGGCUGCAAAAAAAUGAAUAUGUACCAUUAUUAUCCUUUUACAUUACGCCAUGAUAGUACCAUCCGCAGCACGGGCUUUUAAACUACAAAUUUUCUUUGGACGGUAGUAUAAUCUAACGGGUCCUGGUGCAUGAUACAUGUACCAUCUAUAGAAUUUUUCUUACAGAAAUACAUUGCAACCUAACAUGUCAUAAUAGAUUUUGUUAACUUUCCUUACUGUAAUACUACAGAAAGUCAACCCGACCUUUCAAUAGUACUUCUCUCCUCAAAUGACAGUACAACUCUAAUUAUAAGAUACAUACAUUUCAGACCUUACUAAAUUAUUGAAAAAAUGUACUGUUGUUUGCCCACACAUUUAAGUACUACAUGUUUUACAACAAUACAUUGCAAUCUACAGAAUUUUUCUUACUGUAAUACUACAGAAAGUCAACCUGAACUUUCAAUAGUACUUCUCUCCUCAAAUGACAGUACAACUCUAAUUAUAAGAUACAUACAUUUCAAACCUUACUAAAGGUUUGAAAAAAUGUACUGUUGUUUGCCCACACAUUUAAGUACUACAUGUUUUUGAUACCCCUUAUUUUUCUAACAGAUUUGCUAUCAUGCUGGUUUGUUUGCAGCACAAUAUGGAUAAGGAGCCCUCGUCCAUUCUUGAUCGAGUUAAGUCUACGGACUAUCCAAGACACCAUGCGAGGUGAUACAUGGGUCAAUCCGAGCUGCUUCGAUCUUGGAUUUCGUAAGCUUAUUAGCGACGCGAUACAGAGGAACGCGGGAACAGACUUUGUUGGCUCAACGCAUAUGUUUGAUUUGCAAUUCAUUCGCCUAGCACGGGUGCUCAGUCAGGCUGGCGUAGGCCAAGCUGAACGCACCAACUUGUUGAUCAACCAUGUCAUUGAACGGCCUUUGCCGAAAUACAAUGUGCUCAUGACCCCGUCCAUUGUAAGGAUUUUCAUUCUUAAAAAUUGGUCUGUAUACUAUUUUUUCGCCAUUAACUUUAUAUACCUAUUGCAGUACCUAUUGCCGUUGUAUUUGGUGGAUUCCUCCUAUGGCCUCCUUGCAGUUAAUAUUGAAAAUAGGAGGACUCUCAUAAUUGAUCAUUCCAAUGAGUCAUUCCUAGGCUCAGAGGACUUUCAUGACAAGGAAAUUAAGAAGGAAGCCAUGAUAGUUUUGCAAGAAUUUGGCAGUGUAUUGCAAUAGGGGAGGCCUGGGUUGAAUCCCCAACUCGUGGAUUGGCCACAAGAUCAUACCUAUAUUACAGCUCAGCGGUAAUAGUUUAAAUUGUUUAUGCAUAUUAUAGCCACACUGAUAUAGGUUCUAACAUAUUGAUUUUUUUGGUCACAGCCUGGACUCUGGAUUGAAAGUCCUACAGGAGAUGGCUCACCAAGAUGAUACUCUCGGGCAUAACAUGUCCAGGACUUCAGUAUGUGCAUAUAUAACAAGUUUCUGUCUUACAUAGCUUUGUUAAUUAUAAAUUUAUGGGCUUCCUAUCACGUAGGUCUGUUGUGCAUAUCAUUUUUCAGUUAUUUAUUAAAUUGUUGUUUAUGUUUUCUAGGAUUCACUACAGCUCAAAAAGCACCUGCUGGUCCAGAUGCUGAUGAUCAAAGGCAAUGAAGCAGCUAUAAACAUCCCAGCUGAAAUUACAGCAUGCUUGAGGUUUUUGGAGGAAUGACUAUGGACUAAUGCUAAAUCGAAUGUCGCAAAUAUAAUAAGCUAAUAGAACCUUGUCAGGGAUCAAAUUGAGAUUUAUCCUUUUGGCAGUAUGAAUAAUGGAUUUGAUUAUAUAUAUGUAGAGAAUAAACUGUUUGAUGGCACCCUCUAGCUUCGUAUUCGUUUAAACGUUGUCUGCUUGUUUUGGUUCUAUCUAAAUAUUUUGGCUUCUAUGUAUAUUUUGUACUAUAAUAUUCGUGCGGUCAGGAGCAGGUUUGUUGCUCCAGGUGAACCAGAGGCAUUUUGUAAAGGACCAUUGCAGGUUCAGCCGGCAAAUGAGGUUUUCAGUCAUGCCUCACAUCAUAUACUAACUCGUAUCGUGUAACUCCAUCCAUACACACACUGCUAUACGAUACGAGGUUUACUUUGUCGGCAAUCGUCACAUGCCAGCUAUGGAAUAGCCAAAAUAAAAACAUGUUGCAAUUGUGCAUCUCUAUCCUAAUCCCGACGGAUGCCUCGGGACACUUAUCCGCAUCACUGGAACCCCCAGAAAAGUGUUGCUUUAGCCUUCUCCUAGGAUCAUAAUGUACACUGGAGUAAAUCUUUCCUCUCUAAAUCUGGCCAAAACCCAUACUUCCAGGCUGGAUCAUCUGAUAUAGCUCUUCUCCUAUAGGAUCAUUUGGUAGAUCCAUGAGAGCAGGUACACCUGGCUACUGUCAAAGAAAAAGAGAGAAGAGCCAAAUCACCAGAGCAGCCAUAUCAAGCAUGGGGAAGGAGAGAAGCAGUGGUGGGGCUGCUGCCUUGUGGGUGGAGAAGCAGAUCUGGGAAGAAACAGAUGCAGAUGAGAAGGAGCAGGCAAGCACAUCUAGCUACACUGAUCUGCUGGAAGAGGGUUGCGCCAGAGGAGGAUGGGGAGGAGCUGCAGCCAGAGAGGAGGGGGAGGAACUGUGGCCGGAGGGAGGAGGCUGGCGGCUGCCGCAGAUCUGAGGAGGAAGCCUGUGUCAAUGGUCCAGAGAAGAGACAUGAGAGACCUCUCGCGUGGAUUCUCUCUCUCUCUUUCCCCUUCUCAUAACUGGUCGCACCUGAACCAAUGUUUCCCGCGCUUGUGUUCCCGCCCAGGUCAGCUUUCUCGCGUGCAAUCUAUAUUUCCCUGCUUGACAGGCUAAGGCGUCUGAUUGGUCUGAGGCGUGCAAGGCGGCGCUAAGGCGGACGCUUCAGACGCCUUACAGCCUAAGGCGGACGCCUUACGCAACUGUGUUAGGCAAGGCCUACGCCUUGAGCCUGGAGGGCGCCCUGACGCCUAGGCGUCGCCUGAACGACGCCUUACGGACGCCUUAAAAACAUAGGUGUAGUGAUUAAUCAUCCAUUUCAUUGAAAGUUCAGGUGGUCUUGGGGAUCUCUAUGUGGCAGAAGAUAGAGAUUUGGUGCCUUUUUGUUGCAAAUAUUUCUAGCUUUCUAGGUAGGCCAAGAUUUCUCAACAUUCUGCAAUAUUCAGUUGUUGUAUGUUGUCUUAGGCUCACACCAAAUGCUGAAUUAUAGCAGUGAAUGUAAGUUGUAUUCCAUGUAGAGUACGUAGCAGAUUUAUAGCUUACUAUACUUCUAUAAAUCCUACAACUCCCGUAUUAACGCACGAACCAUAAAGUCAUGAAUUAUAAUUGGCAAAAAGAACUAUAUACAACAACUGAGAAACUGGAAUUAGUAUUGGUUACCUUUGGCAUUGGAAAACCAUGGAGAAACUGGAAUUGAAAUCAUUCAUCGAACUUGUGUGGUCUCUGAGAUAUUACAACUGCAAAUAGUAUAUUGAGACUGUACAUUACUACGUAAUUAUGGAAUUAAGUAUUACUACAAUCUGUUAAAUCAUACAAAAUUAGCUAAGCAGGAAAAUGAUUAGUGUGCAUGCCGUGAAUUUAACUUUGUUGUAGCUAAACUUGGCAUGCAAGCAAUGAAAAGUUCUUUAUUUAAUUAAUACAGUAAUUUAAUUCUUCUUAGUAAGUUAUGAUUUUUUUACAUCUUUCCUAAUUUAUUAACAGGUCUGCAUUUGAUGGAAAACAAUGGUAUAUAUGGUAACAAUGGUAUAUAUGGUAGAAUUAUAUUCAGCCAUGAUCUGCUACCCAGUUAUUCUCCGCAUGGGCUACCUAUAUAUGUUAUUCUCCUCUGCCAUCCCUCCUCCCUCUCCUUGCUCUUCCUUCGGCCAUCACAACAGCAGUCCUGGAGGAAAAUUUCCCAAGGAGUACCUUGUGUAAGCAAGGAGCAUCAAGAAGGCGAGUUGCUCUAGGCACGAACAAUUCUGGAUCUUUAUCUUCUCUAAAAGUGUAAUAGUUGUUAUAUUAGGAUCAUGUUUGGUUGAUGUAUAGUAUCAAAAGUAUGUUUUAUCUUGCAUUUUAUGUAUGUGGUGCUAAAAUUUAGUGAACAGUCAAAAGUUGAACAUCAAGUUAAGCAAACAGAACAAUUUACCAGAGCAAUCUAUGCAUUUGAGGACCUCAUGGUUUUAUCCAUGCCUGUCUUGUAAGUCCAUCUUAGUGAUUCCAUCAAGGAGCUCUCAGCAAGAAUAUCUAGGCUUGGGAAAGAUCUGUCAUGAGAAACGUAAAACAUUUAAGGUAUGUGCAUAACUACAGGUAAUAGAUGGUAACACCUAAAAAGUCUUCCUUUUGAAAUCUUUAAAAAUAUACACAAGAUGUUCUAAAAUAAAAAAAUAUUGUGAAGAUUUAC
This 6355-nucleotide long non-coding RNA is filed under the name Triticum aestivum (bread wheat). RNAcentral's name for it is "long non-coding RNA (TAES_LNC022454)". The record is from RNAcentral. Lineage: Eukaryota; Viridiplantae; Streptophyta; Magnoliopsida; Poales; Poaceae.